AACGAACGCUGGCGGCAUGCCUAACACAUGCAAGUCGAACGAGACCUUCGGGUCUAGUGGCGCACGGGUGCGUAACGCGCGGGAAUCUGCCCCUUGGUUCGGAAUAACAGUUAGAAAUGACUGCUAAUACCGGAUGAUGACGAAAGUCCAAAGAUUUAUCGCCGAGGGAUGAGCCCGCGUAGGAUUAGCUAGUUGGUGAGGUAAAGGCUCACCAAGGCGACGAUCCUUAGCUGGUCUGAGAGGAUGAUCAGCCACACUGGGACUGAGACACGGCCCAGACUCCUACGGGAGGCAGCAGUGGGGAAUAUUGGACAAUGGGCGAAAGCCUGAUCCAGCAAUGCCGCGUGAGUGAUGAAGGCCUUAGGGUCGUAAAGCUCUUUUACCAGGGAUGAUAAUGACAGUACCUGGAGAAUAAGCUCCGGCUAACUCCGUG
Molecule: ribosomal RNA, 433 nt
Filed under: uncultured bacterium
Lineage: Bacteria
Description: bacterial SSU rRNA
Rfam family: Bacterial small subunit ribosomal RNA
Source: RNAcentral